AUUGAACGCUGGCGGCAGGCUUAACACAUGCAAGUCGAGCGGUUGACGGGAGCUUGCUCCCUGAUUCAGCGGCGGACGGGUGAGUAAUGCCUAGGAAUCUGCCUAUUAGUGGGGGACAACGUUUCGAAAGGAACGCUAAUACCGCAUACGUCCUACGGGAGAAAGCAGGGGACCUUCGGGCCUUGCGCUAAUAGAUGAGCCUAGGUCGGAUUAGCUUGUUGGUGAGGUAAUGGCUCACCAAGGCGACGAUCCGUAACUGGUCUGAGAGGAUGAUCAGUCACACUGGAACUGAGACACGGUCCAGACUCCUACGGGAGGCAGCAGGGGGGAAUAUUGGACAAUGGGCGAAAGCCUGAUCCAGCCAUGCCGCGUGUGUGAAGAAGGUCUUCGGAUUGUAAAGCACUUUAAGUUGGGAGGAAGGGUUGUAGAUUAAUACUCUGCAAUUUUGACGUUACCGACAGAAUAAGCACCGGCUAACUCUGUGCCAGCCGCCGCCGUAA
Molecule: ribosomal RNA, 500 nt
Filed under: uncultured bacterium
Lineage: Bacteria
Description: partial 16S ribosomal RNA
Rfam family: Bacterial small subunit ribosomal RNA
Source: RNAcentral